AUGGGACCCAGCUGUGAGCCGAGGCCAGCUCGACCCCGGGGUGACGAUACUUCCCAGCUCCGCAGCACACUCGGAAAUCAAAGCCAUGUUCUGAUGUCAUUGUUCUUUUCCAAGUAUCCCCCCGCUCGCCUGUCCCUGGGCCAGGCGGUGUGGUGCACACUCCUGCCUCCUGGUACAUCUUGCUUCCUACAUUUUUGCAGAGGCUGCUGCUGCUGCUGUGAGCUCUAUUUUGCCUCUUGCACAGUUCGUCCAAGCCAGACCCUGAGGAGCCGCAUGUUCUGUCACUGGGAUGUUUGUGUGACUUUCAUGGAAUCUCCCUCCCUCAGCCACUUGCUCGUGGUCACUGGGUGGGUUUUGUCCCUCAGCAGGUGGCUGGUAAACCCCAGGAGGGUGCAGGUAGGGAGAGGAACAGCAAGAAAAGGGGGGCUGAUGUGUGCUGAAGGUGUUUGAUUCCAUUAAAGGUGUCUGCAGCCACUGGGUUUUGCGCACAGCAGUCUGCCUGCAGCUCUUGCUGUACCGAGCACCUUUGUGAAAGAUCCUGUAUCCUCCAAAACUGGGUGAGGAGCAAAACACCCCGCAAAGGGCAGGGUCAGACUGUGCAGGCGGUAUGGCAGCCGUGGGGAAAAUGCUAUUUUGCCUGCCCCUGCUUAAGACUCAGGCUGUUUGCAGUCAGGUCAGAAAUAGGUGGUGAUUUUUAGCAGAGUCAUAACCGUGGGAAGGCUUUGCCUCACAGCGAGGUGGGUCCUGCAUCAUCAGUCACUGGCAGCCAGCUCCCGGCAAAUGUGCUCUGCUUCCACCAUGAGACACGUUUCUAGAUGGUCUUGGGGGGACUCAGCCUAAUGCCUUGUAAUGCUCCUCUCCUUAAGCUCUGUGUGACUCUGCAAGGAGCUGGGCUCUGGAAUAGCACAGGCAGUGCCCAUAUUCCCUCCCCUGGAGCUCCCGCAGCCAUCAGCUCUCCUCCGUCUGCCCAGGGUCCCUGCCUUUGCUUUUGGGGUGUCCCCAUCAGGAUGGCACCCCUGAGCCGAGCCCACAGGAUCCUGGCGGCACAUUUGCCUUGUGGUGUGCUCUGCCUUUGCUGUCGCCAAUGAGCCUUUUGGAGGCAGCAAAUGGAUUUUCCGUGGCUGAAGUCUGUUAACCUAGGAGCAGACUUCAAGCUGGCUAUUUUUACCUGUUCUGGCACUAUUAAUAGUUGUACGGUUAGCAAUAAACGCCAGUCGAGAUAUUUGAUUUGUCUGUCCCCCCAGAGGUUGGCGCUUCCUAUUCCCCCUGUUGUUUUCCAUCAACUGCUUCAAUUAAAUGAUCUUGUCGUUAUUUUGGGGUGAUACAUUUGUGCUUUGCAAUCGGCUGUUAAACUCCUUCGCUGUCUCACACACAGAUCAAUAAACAUAGGAAGCUGUCCCACUUUCUCUCCCCAAAGUGUCCUUGUGCCUUUGCUGCCAGGCUGGAUGCUUCCCGGCAGGCAGGGAUGGG
RNAcentral lists this long non-coding RNA (1470 nucleotides) under Falco tinnunculus (common kestrel). RNAcentral's name for it is "lncRNA (ENSFTIG00000006550.1)". Lineage: Eukaryota; Metazoa; Chordata; Aves; Falconiformes; Falconidae. The record is from RNAcentral.